GAUGAACGCUGGCGGCGUGCCUAAUACAUGCAAGUCGAGCGAACGGACGAGAAGCUUGCUUUUCUGAUGUUAGCGGCGGACGGGUGAGUAACACGUGGAUAACCUACCUAUAAGACUGGGAUAACUUCGGGAAACCGGAGCUAAUACCGGAUAAUAUUUUGAACCGCAUGGUUCAAUAGUGAAAGACGGUCUUGCUGUCACUUAUAGAUGGAUCCGCGCUGCAUUAGCUAGUUGGUAAGGUAACGGCUUACCAAGGCAACGAUGCUUAGCCGACCUGAGAGGGUGAUCGGCCACACUGGAACUGGGACACGGUCCAGACUCCUACGGGAGGCAGCAGUAGGGAAUCUUCCGCAAUGGGCGAAAGCCUGACGGAGCAACGCCGCGUGAGUGAUGAAGGUCUUCGGAUCGUAAAACUCUGUUAUUAGGGAAGAACAUAUGUGUAAGUAACUGUGCACGUCUUGACGGUACCUAAUCAGAAAGCCACGGCUAACUACGUG
RNAcentral lists this ribosomal RNA (497 nucleotides) under uncultured bacterium. RNAcentral describes it as "partial 16S ribosomal RNA". It matches the Rfam family "Bacterial small subunit ribosomal RNA", at positions 28 to 507 of the family's 1533-position model. The record is from RNAcentral.